Long non-coding RNA from Lotus japonicus, 501 nucleotides. RefSeq lists it as uncharacterized. NCBI's taxonomy places the organism in Eukaryota, Viridiplantae, Streptophyta, Magnoliopsida, Fabales, Fabaceae. The record is from RefSeq and is a predicted model, not a curated record. The transcript has 3 exons.
CCUACUUUCUAGUCGGACCAAUGACUAGAGCAAGAGCAAAGAAAGUUAAGGAGGCCUUGCAGCAAGUUGUAGCAACAAUUCUUGAAGGUGCUCCUAGUUUGGAGGACAUGAAGCCUAAAAUGGUUCAUUGCAUCAUUCCAAUGGAAGACCCUUGAUACUAUGUGAUAUCUUUUUUCAGGUGAUUCUUGGGUCUAAAUCGAAGUUUGGAAAGUCCUCUUUAGCCUCUUUUUGAAAUCACGCAAUUCCGAGUUCUCUGGCUCGAGUUACAUCGAAUCCUAAUACGAUCUGAAAAUUCAAAGAGGCUUAUUUCAGAACCUCAUCAGGUGGUAUUCAGAGCUUUGUUCUAGUGUUGGAAUUGGAAGAUUUUAUCUCAACCUUUUGGGUGAUUGUGUGCGCAAAUUCUGGCUGUUGAACCCACUUGUAGGGCCAUUUUUGUAGGAGGCAGCAUCCGUGAGCAUCUUCACAUUGUUGUUUGGAAGCAAUGGCAUAUCACAGGCAGCU